ACUUUCACAGGAAGACAGAAUUCCUGCCGCCCUUAGGCGGCGAUAAUCUUGGUGCAAAUCCAAGUAAAAGUA
This 72-nucleotide transfer RNA is filed under the name Uroplatus sikorae. Its description in RNAcentral is "partial tRNA-Leu". The record is from RNAcentral. Lineage: Eukaryota; Metazoa; Chordata; Lepidosauria; Squamata; Gekkonidae.